AUGAACGCUGGCGGCGUGCCUAAUACCUGCAAGUCGAGCGAACAGACGAGGAGCUUGCUCCUCUGACGUUAGCGGCGGACGGGUGAGUAACACGUGGAUAACCUACCUAUAAGACUGGGAUAACUUCGGGAAACCGGAGCUAAUACCGGAUAAUAUAUUGAACCGCAUGGUUCAAUAGUGAAAAACGGUUUUGCUGUCACUUAUAGAUGGAUCCGCGCCGCAUUAGCUAGUUGGUAAGGUAACGGCUUACCAAGGCAACGAUGCGUAGCCGACCUGAGAGGGUGAUCGGCCACACUGGAACUGAGACACGGUCCAGACUCCUACGGGAGGCAGCAGUAGGGAAUCUUCCGCAAUGGGCGAAAGCCUGACGGAGCAACGCCGCGUGAGUGAUGAAGGUCUUCGGAUCGUAAAACUCUGUUAUUAGGGAAGAACAAAUGUGUAAGUAACUAUGCACGUCUUGACGGUACCUAAUCAGAAAGCCACGGCUAACUACGUG
This 496-nucleotide ribosomal RNA is filed under the name uncultured bacterium. RNAcentral's name for it is "partial 16S ribosomal RNA". It matches the Rfam family "Bacterial small subunit ribosomal RNA", at positions 29 to 507 of the family's 1533-position model. The record is from RNAcentral.